UACGGGGGGAGCAAGCGUUGUUCGGAUUUACUGGGCGUAAAGGGCGCGUAGGCGGCCACGACAAGUCACUUGUGAAAUCUCCGGGCUUAACUCGGAACGGUCAAGUGAUACUGUCGGGCUAGAGUACAGAAGGGGCAACUGGAAUUCUCGGUGUAGCGGUGAAAUGCGUAGAUAUCGAGAGGAACACCUGCGGCGAAGGCGGGUUGCUGGGCUGAUACUGACGCUGAUGCGCGAAAGCCAGGGGAGCGAACGGG
RNAcentral lists this ribosomal RNA (254 nucleotides) under uncultured bacterium. Its description in RNAcentral is "partial 16S ribosomal RNA". It matches the Rfam family "Bacterial small subunit ribosomal RNA", at positions 524 to 776 of the family's 1533-position model. The record is from RNAcentral.